This 5929-nucleotide long non-coding RNA is filed under the name Canis lupus familiaris (dog). RNAcentral's name for it is "lncRNA (ENSCAFG00845030585.1)". The record is from RNAcentral. Lineage: Eukaryota; Metazoa; Chordata; Mammalia; Carnivora; Canidae.
AGCAAGGUCGCUGUCCGUCGGUUUUCCGCUAAAACGCGCAUCGCCCCGCAUCCAGCGGAGCUUCCGUAAAGGUGUUUGAAACACACGCAGUUCCGUUCUCUCAAAUCAGCUUAAACCCCUGAAUCGGCAGCUAAGGGGCUGCGACCUUAGGGGAGCGCGGUGAGGGGUCUCCAGAGCCAGGCUUCUCAAAUCACGAUCCAGAAACCAGGUGAGCGUAGCGAGGCGGAGGGAUGCCCGACAGCGAGGAUGGGGGGAGAGGCCGGGGGGCUCGCCCUAGGACACCUCCCCGCAGAACUUGAGCCGCCCUUCAAGGCCUCCUACCGCGGAGGACGCCCCAUUCUCCUCGCGGUCAGCCUCCAGGGCUGUGUGCUCCACUCAGCACACCAUCCCUCUUCUAGUUCCGCAGUAUGUAGAUGCCAGGCCCUGCUGAAAACAUGCAAGCCCUCCUUCCUCAGCUUCCUUCACCAUCUUCUGAACCUGAGGAGUGCACAGCCACCCCGUCACCUGGAUGCACACCACUUACUGCCAUUAUCCUGAAGCUCAUUCCACUUGCUUGGGAUGGGCUUCCUAAAUUAAUCACUGAUGAUUCCUCGCUGCCAGGUGAGCGUUGUUUCCAGAAAGCUGUGCGCCUUUGUAUUGUAUGGCACCAAAGGUAUCAGUUAAAGCGCAUGAACAAGGCUCCAGAUUUUGUCCUUUAAAUCCUUGGUGCUCACCGAAGAAUUGGCAAAUAAUAAUAAUCAUUAUUAUCAUUAUUAUUUAUUUAGUAGCCGCUAGUAAUAGAGGCUACUAAGAACCUUCUGAGGCUUCUUUCUAGAUGAAAGAUGAGAUUUCAUUAGAGCCUUUCAAUAGUGAGUGAGGAUCCUGGAGUGACUUGCCAGAUACUUGAUAUGCUUUUAAAUGUGUUUAAAAAUAAGAUGCUAUGUUUUGUAUUUUAUACAUGCAGAUAUAUAAUAAAGUGACAGUUGCCACAAUGCUCCAAACUUCCUCCUCCCCUUUGGCCUAUCGUUUGCCAGAAUCCCUGGCUAGUGAAAAUUGCAUACUGAAUAGCACCUCAAGGAAAAGCAGAAAGGUAAGCUCUGUCUUCCUUCUUGUUGGGCAACACCAGCUUCUAGCUGUCCUGCAGAUUGGGGCCAACACCAGGCCUGACACUUCGCUUCGGAAUGAAUCUGAGCAAAUGCUUUUGCCAAUCAAGAGACAAGGGAAAGAAUACGUAUCCUUAGCUCAUCCCAAAACCAAGGACCAUGGCAUAACUCAAAAUAUCUAUAAGUAGUAUUUGGUUGAGUAUUUUCAGCAUAGAAACUAGUUUUUACUUGGAUCCACUGUCAUAUAUAUGUGAAAACAGAUAAAAAAACUAACUUGCAAUAUUCCUUGAGCCAAUUCCUAGCAAUAAUGAAACUAGAGUGCCUGUGGGAGUUGCCAGUGAGAGGAGGCAGCAUUCCAACCUAGCUCUGAGUCAUCCCUACUUCCAAGAUGAAUAGGGAAUCUGAGAGCUACUGAUUGUUAAGUCAAAUGCUAACAGAUCUGGUAUUGAAAUGUUAUAUUUCAAGACUCAGAAAGGAUUAGAGAGGUGAAAAAGGAGAAAGAGAUCGUUUUUUUCCCAUCCCACAUAUAGAUAAUACUUCACAGAAACUCAUUUGUAAUUUUUUUCAUGUUGUCUCAUGCUUUUGAUUAAGAAUCAUAAAAUCAGGAAGAAAUUUAGGGAAAUUUUGAAGAAAUUCAAAGAAAUUCUUGAAUAAAUAAUUUUAUUUCACACAUGUUCAUAUAAUAUAGCAUAAGUUGGUGCUUUUAACAUGAGAAUAAUUUUUAAAUCUUCUAAGAACUUGAAAUCUCAUCAUUUAUAUAUAUUUUUUUCCCCUGAAUCUCUGGUCAUAUAUCAUGAAUUAGUAUUAUAAUCUAUAAUUAUGUAGAUUAUAUUAGUAUAAUAAUAUACAUUUUUCCAAAGUGACCUAAAUUUAAGCUAUAGUGAAAUAAGAUUAUUCUAGUAGAAGAGGCAGAAAUAUGCAGCUAGUUCAGGCCAAAAUAGUGACUACGGGAUACAUUUCUGUGUGUUAUUGAAGUUAACAUUCAUUUUUGUUCUUCUCAUGAUAUAUUUUUAUGUCAUAAUCUAGGAUCAGAAUUGAAACUAGUAGCAUAAAUAAAUGUGUUCAUAAAGCAUGAGAUAAUAACAGGGUCAGCUUGAGAAUAUUUAAACAUUCUGAACUUGAUAAAAAGAGUAAUAAGUUGACCCUUGAACAACACAGGAGUUAGGGGUUCCAACCCCCCCACACAGUUGCAAAUCCACAUAUAGCUUUUGACUCCCAAAUACUUAACUAUUAGGAGCCUGCUAUUGACAGGAAGCUUUACCCGUACUAUAAACAGUUGAUUAACACAGACUUACAAAAAGUAAAAUAGAGAAAAUAAAAUGUUAUUCAGAAAAUCAUAAGGAAGAGAAACUACGUUUACAGUCCUAUAGAAAAUUCACAUAUAAGUGGACCCAUGCAGUUCAAACCAUUGUUGUUCAAGGAUCAACUGUAUUUGAAAACUUACUAAAACAAGACAGUUAUUUUUACAAAAUAAACCGAUAUCAUGCCAGAGAAAGACAUAAUAUGGGUUUGGUUCUAGGUUUUACUUUUUGGAAAAUGUGCAGUUAAACCCAGAGAACAUAGAGCAACGCCAAUCCUUAAUAAUCCCUGUUUGUUGACACGGAAUCCAUUAGGAAUUGUUUGCUAUUAGUUUGCUUUUCAAUGAUUUUUGGCAAAAUGGAGAAGGGGCAUCACAACAGUACCAAAUACCAUUUUUUUUCCAAAUGCCAUUUUUAAGAGGAAUAAAAUAAUGUGAACAGAUCUAUUAUGUACAUCAAAAUACAGUGUUUUAUAGCAAUUAUACAGUGUCUGUGGGAAUGAAUUAUCUGACAAAGCCCAAGGAAGACUCUCAAGAAAACCAAGUUAAAAUGAGAUAUUAAAUUAAAAAUUGUGGCAACUUUCACAUCUACAACAGACUAUCUAGAGUCCCUGAGACAUUACUCGGGGGUAACAUUACUAUCCUACUUAAGAGAGGCCUGUUGUAAGAGAUGCUUUGUACAGGAGGCCACAUUAAAUCCUGCAUUUAAUUAACCCUGAUUUUGUGCUAUAUCUUUGUGGAUCACAGUCACUGACAAUGAGGGAAGGUAUCAAGAACAGCUAUAAUAGCUAAUACGUAAUAGCUCUUUCUAUGUGACAGACACAUCAGUAUGCUCUUUACAUGUACAAUAUAUUCAAUUCUCCAAUGAUCAUCUUGGGUAGUUAUUAUUAUCCCCACAAUUUGCUCAAGUUUACACAAUAGAAAGAGGCAGAACCAUGGAUUAAACCAAAAUCUGCCUCAUUAAAGAAUACUCACUCUUAAACAGUACUCUAUAAAGACCUUUUCCCCUGCAUCUACAUUGAAUUAUUUUAAAAUAAAAUGCACCAUUGAAACUGAUAAUGUGAAUGAAAACUACAAUUGUGUCUAUUUGAAUUCCACUGUUUAAAGGCUACCACUUUUUUGUUAUCCUUACUCCAAGGAAGAAAGUUCUAGGAUCAUAUUUAUUAGAAGUCUUUGAGUAAUUGAUAUGAAUGUGAAUAUUGACCUUAUUGUUCUUUGUAAUGCCAAUGGGGUUAUAUUUUUAGAUCAUUUUGUCCUAUAUAACUGAUCUCAAAUAGCAGAGAGGGCUUUUUCUUUUUCUUUUUUUUCAAGCAGCUGAGAGUUUUCUGUAUAAUAGACAAAUUGCCUUAAUUUCUUGAGUCCUGGCUUAAUAAAUCAAUCACUAUAUAUUUUGGUUGAAACCUUAUUUUGUGUUUGGGUCUUCAAUGAAGAUUUUACAUGAUUUUAAUAUCUUCCAGAUAUUUCUCAAAGCUUUUGAAGAUUUCUUUUUUUUUUAAGAUUUUAUUUAUUUAUUCAUAGAGACACACACACACACACACACACAGAGGCAGAGACACAGGCAUAGGGAGAAGCAGGCUCCAUGCAGGGAGCCCGACAUGGGACUCGAUCCUGGGUCUCCAGGAUCACACCCCGGGCUGCAAGUGCUAAACCACUGAGCCACCGGGGCUGCCUUUUUUUUUUUUUAAAGAUUUUAUUUAGCUCUGGAGAUUUCAACAAAAUUUUGAAUAUGGUCAGUUUAUUAAAUCGAUUUGUUGCUUAGUGAAAGCUCCCAAUAUAUUGGUCAAAAUAUCUACAGUACGUUUUGAAUGUCUUAAUAACCAUUUAUAAUUAUAGCACAAUAUGAUUGUAUACUACAGCAUAAAAUGUUAAGCAAGUUUAAAUUCUAAGUUCCCAAAUUCAGAGUAUCCUAAACUUUAUUAAAUGUAAAGCAAAUCCCAGCAUUGCCACCAACUGGCUGCUUAGUCUUGACAAGUUUAGUUAACCUUUUAGCCACUUAGUUUCUCAUCACCUAUAAAAUAAGAAUAAUGAUUACUCGUCCCACAUUGGAUUGUUGUGAAAUUGAGGUAAUAAAUGUGACAUAGAACCUGGAAGCACAGUUAAUAUUAUGUGUUUGCCCUCGUUGUUGCACUCCAGAAAUAUUUUAUCAAAUUAUACAUAGAUAGCAGUGUAUGAGUACACAUGUCCCACCACACUGAAUGUCCUCCCUCCAAAAAACAAAACAAAACAAAACAAAACAAAAAAAGAAAGAAAGAAACCUCAUCAUGUUAUUUUAAUCUGCACUUCUUUGUUUACCAGUGAAAUUGGAUUUUUUUUUAAUGUUUAUUAACUACAGGUUAUUAACUACAGGUAUUCCCUCAUGGGAUUUACUCUUCACAUUUUUAAAAAAGAUUUUAUUUAUUUAUUAGAGACACAGAGAGAGAGAGAGAGAGAGAGAGAGAGAGAGAACAGGCAGAGGGAGAAGCAGGCUCCAUGCAGGGAGCCUGACGUGGGACUCGAUCACAGGACUCCAUGGUCACACCCUGGGCUGAAGGUGGCGCUAAACCGCUAAGCCACUGGGGCUGCCCACUCUUCACAUUUUAAUCAUAAUAUUUGAGGGUUUUUUGCAACUGAUAUGUGAACCUUUAUCUAUUAAGUAUACUAAUUUUUAUCAUCCUAUAUAACAUUGUUUUUCUGUUUUUAACCAUCUAUCUUUGAAAGUUGAAGAAGAGCAUAUUUUAUUCUUUGCAAGAGGAUUUUAAAACAUAGGUGAUCGGUUAUCACUCUUAUUGAGAAGAGAAGAAAUGAGUCUUUGUUUUGUACAUAUCCCACCACAUCCAUUAAAUAAAUAUGUAUUCUUGUUUUGUGCUAAAGAGAAGAAUGUUCCAUUGAAUCCAACUUUGAACAUGAACUAGGGAAACCACUUUCUUCCUUCUAGAAAUUUCCAUCUGGUUUAUUGAAACCCCCAAGAAAAAUCUUUCAUUUAUUUUGCAAAUCUUGUUCACCAGUUCUGUGAUAUCACUUACCUUUAUUUGCUAUGUGCUGUGCUAAAAUUGUACUUUUCACGAAGAACAUUUUUUUACGCAACUUUGUAUUCACAAUGCAGUAUUCAGCAAAUGUUUAUUUAAUGUCAAAUAAAUAUGAUAGUUUAAAUUAUGUGCAAUUUUGGUUCAUAGUUAAGGUUAUGAUUAAAGUAUUCAUUUGCAGAGUCAUUCCACAACUGCACACCACGUUUCAGAUUGUAAUAGAGAGGUUGAUUAAUUCCACUCGUGCUUCUUGUCCACCUCCUUACUCCAUGUUGCUUGCUCCCAUUAGAUCCAUAAUUGCCAUUCAAGUUACAAGCCCUUUGGAGUAACUGUUUUCCCUCAAUCCUUUCAGACUCAGUUUCUUUCUUUUAAAAAUAAUUUUGAUCAUAGUUGCUUAUCGUUUUAGCCCUACUUUCAGCUGUUUUCACAAUGCCCUCCUAUGUAAUCCCUCUUCUAUUUCCAAGAAUCCUUAUCAUACAUGUAAAUGUUCCUAGGAAAACUUUUUAGCAUCUGUCAUUCCAAGUUAACCUGAUUUUCCUGUGGCAACU